This is a long non-coding RNA of Diorhabda sublineata, 1933 nucleotides long. RefSeq lists it as uncharacterized. The record is from RefSeq and is a predicted model, not a curated record. Lineage: Eukaryota; Metazoa; Arthropoda; Insecta; Coleoptera; Chrysomelidae. The transcript is spliced from 2 exons.
GAGCCUCCUCACAACUCGACACGAAGAACAUAUCAAUCAGUGCAUAAAAUUAAUUGAAAAUGGAUCAUCAGCUUUCAAAGCCUUUAAUUAAAGUAAAUAUUGAACUUUCACAUUGCUUGUAAUUAAUUUAUCGAAACUUGCAAUUGCCUUAAUACUUAGAAGAAAUAAAAUACACUAAAAUUUUAUUAAAUUGAAGCUCAUUUCAUGCAGAUAAUUUAAGUAUUGAUUCUCUUAUUCCCUUUUUGUGAUAUUUAACUUUACGUUGAGCCAUGAUUGUGUUUUUAAGAUUUAAAAAAGUCCAAAAUAUGAUUUUUUUAUAAUAUUUUAUGUUCAACUUAGGGUUCUGAUAUAUAUAUUUAUUUUCGAUUCCUAAUACCUACCUUAAAAAAUUUACCAAGAUUGGGUGUCUAAUAAGUAAAUAUUUUUUCCAUUCUAAGUUUUACUCGGCACUAUCCAAGACUUGGAAAUUGAGAUCCAACAAAACUUUAAAAUGCCAUAACUCAAAAGAUAUAUAUGUGAGAUAUAAACUCAAAAUUUGGUGGUGUUAUUUAUCUCUAUAUAUAGAACAAAUGCACCGCCUUUCAACAUACUUAGAGGGUUGUCAGUUCUAUCAAAAGAAAACUUUUUCUUUCUGCAAAUUCCUAUUUUAUUUACUCGGAAUUUAUAUAAUAGGAAUGAAUAAAAAAAAAUUAUUGUAAAAUAUUUGUAUAAUUUACAAAUUAUUCCAUGUUGAAAACACUUUUCUUUGAUUUCUUAGUCUCCACUUCUGGAUUGAAAUGACUAGCUGUUCUUUUUCUAAUUUCAUCUACUCCUUCUUCCGUAGCAGCCCAUUCAAGUACCAAACGUCUUCCAUACAAAUGAGUACUUUGGGAAAGAGCUUCAAAUGCAGCCUAUCAAAAAAAUUACAUCAUGAUAAUUGCAUUUUAUUUGUGUUAACCUAAUUAACUGCCUUACAAAUUGGUUACAGGAUGUAUUCAUUAUAUUUAAUCAAGGUAAUGUUGAUGUAAGGCAUCGCUUUUCAAUUGGACAGUUGAAAUCCAAAGUUUUAAUCUCAUUUAUAUAGAAACAAUAAUAUUUUUAUUAACUAACCACCAAGAGAGGUAUUAAUAGUGGGGGAAAAGUAUCAAAAGAUCACUUACAUAGGUGGUAACAUGAGUCACAAGACAUACAAUGGAGGCAUACCUUCUAGUUAUUAUGGAUAGUGAUCACUUUGAACCUCAGGACGUAUAUAAUGUCGAUGAAACCAGCGUUACAGCAGUGCAAAAAACUGAUGAGUUACAAGACAUGGUACUAAGCAGGAUUAAAAAAUAAGUAAUGGAAUGUGACUUAAAAGAGGUAUUAAUAGUCGGGGAAAAGUAUCAAAAGAUCACUUAUAUAGGCGGUAACGUGAGUCACAAGGCAUACAAUGGAGGCAUACCUUCUAGUUGUUAUGGAUAGCAACCACUUUGAAUCUGAGGACAUAUUUAAUGUCGAUGAAACCAGCGUGCAAAAGCCUGAUAGGGUUGUUGUAAGACAUGAUACUAGGCAAGUGGGUGUGAUUACUUUGAAAGAAGCUGUCUGUCUGACAUUUUCUGUUUUGUUUCAAAGUUUACAUUUCUAGUGAACUGUUACAUCUUCCAUCUAACUUAAAUCUUUAUCAUGAAGGUUUAAUAUGAAAUUGAUAGUCCGAUAACUGGCUUAUUAACUACAAUACAUAAAAAAAAUUAUAUGGUUUUAAACAUCCCGACAUCCACAUUAAUGAUGAUCUAACCUUUGCAUCUGAUGAUGUUGUGUAAUCGAUGAAGGCAAAUCCUCUGUGACUAUCCGAUCCAGCAGCCAUUUUUUUAGGUAAUCUUAACGCACGAAUUUCUCCAAAUGUACUAAAAAAGAAUUUCAAUUUCUAUUAUUUGUAGAUUUUUUCGAUUGGUCGAAAAUAAAUGUUAAAUAUGACAAA